UACGUAGGGUGCAAGCGUUAAUCGGAAUUACUGGGCGUAAAGCGUGCGCAGGCGGUUAUGUAAGACAGAUGUGAAAUGCCCGGGCUUAACCUGGGAACUGCAUUUGUGACUGCAUGGCUAGAGUGUGUCAGAGGGGGGUAGAAUUCCACGUGUAGCAGUGAAAUGCGUAGAUAUGUGGAGGAAUACCGAUGGCGAAGGCAGCCCCCUGGGAUAACACUGACGCUCAU
This 227-nucleotide ribosomal RNA is filed under the name uncultured bacterium. RNAcentral describes it as "partial 16S ribosomal RNA". It matches the Rfam family "Bacterial small subunit ribosomal RNA", at positions 524 to 750 of the family's 1533-position model. The record is from RNAcentral.